Molecule: ribosomal RNA, 275 nt
Filed under: uncultured prokaryote
Description: partial 16S ribosomal RNA
Rfam family: Bacterial small subunit ribosomal RNA
Source: RNAcentral
UACGGAGGAUCCGAGCGUUAUCCGGAUUUAUUGGGUUUAAAGGGUGCGCAGGCGGGAGAUUAAGUCGGCGGUGAAAUUUUGCAGCUUAACUGUAAAAGUGCCUUCGAAACUGGUUUCCUUGAGUGUAGAUGAAGUAGGCGGAAUUUGUGGUGUAGCGGUGAAAUGCAUAGAUAUCACGAGGAACUCCGAUUGCGCAGGCAGCUUACUAAACUACUACUGACGCUCAGGCACGAAGGCGUGGGGAUCAAACAGGAUUAGAUACCCCCGUAGUCCCU